UACGGGGGGGGCAAGCGUUGUUCGGAAUUACUGGGCGUAAAGGGCUCGUAGGCGGCCAACUAAGUCAGACGUGAAAUCCCUCGGCUUAACCGGGGAACUGCGUCUGAUACUGGAUGGCUUGAGUUUGGGAGAGGGAUGCGGAAUUCCAGGUGUAGCGGUGAAAUGCGUAGAUAUCUGGAGGAACACCGGUGGCGAAGGCGGCAUCCUGGACCAACACUGACGCUGAGGCGCGAAAGCGUGGGGAGCGAACAGG
RNAcentral lists this ribosomal RNA (253 nucleotides) under uncultured bacterium. Its description in RNAcentral is "partial 16S ribosomal RNA". It matches the Rfam family "Bacterial small subunit ribosomal RNA", at positions 524 to 776 of the family's 1533-position model. The record is from RNAcentral.